UGCACCAAUCUAUUCGGAUUAAACACCAUCCCCAUGAUAAUCUUAUGAUCGAGAGUAAUUUUUGAGUUAACUAGUAAUUACACAUGUCUCAAAUUUUCAACUCUUGAGAAUAUAUGUCAUUAUACCCAUUAACUCAAUGGAUGAUUUAUGGACAUAAUUUAAAUACAACAUGAAUGGAAAAUAAUCCAGAUUUUAUUCAUUUCAAAAUUACAAUUACAAAAU
This 222-nucleotide long non-coding RNA is filed under the name Elaeis guineensis (African oil palm). RNAcentral describes it as "long non-coding RNA (EGUI_LNC063546)". The record is from RNAcentral. Lineage: Eukaryota; Viridiplantae; Streptophyta; Magnoliopsida; Arecales; Arecaceae.